This is a long non-coding RNA of Dinoponera quadriceps, 1631 nucleotides long. RefSeq lists it as uncharacterized. Lineage: Eukaryota; Metazoa; Arthropoda; Insecta; Hymenoptera; Formicidae. The record is from RefSeq and is a predicted model, not a curated record. The transcript has 4 exons.
UCCGCGCAAACAAGCGCGACCUUCUCGCAGGAGGAAGUACGCGCAGCCGGCAUGCGUUUUCGGCGCCGGCCCGGAUUCCGUUUGUCACUUCUUUUUGUCACCGUGCGUGCACACAACCGCGCGCGCGUCCGACCUCCUCCUCCUUCCGUCCGCGUCUUUAGACCGGCUGAUCGGGUCCAAUGACCAAAAUUAGUGAAAAGGAGGCAAAAACAUCGUUCCCGAAGCGCUCCUCCGGCCGUUUCCUGCCUCCUCCCUGUGCUUAUCUCUCUCACACCUCUGGACAACCGCCAUACAUCUGUUCAGUUUACCCGAGGACUCCGUUCCCGCGAGUUAAUCGAGGAGGCACGUUCGUCUGGAACCAUCAAGGCCGCGAAUGUGGGUGGACGUAUCUUCCGAGAAUCGGCGAGCUGAUUUCGUGCCUGCCGCCAUCGCGAGGACGACGUAGUCCGACCGACUAGACGUGAGAACCGGUGACGUUAAUUAACGUUACGCCGUAACGCGUGAAGAGAUACGCAGCAGGGUGUGUUCGCCAGAGGAAAGAGGAAGAGGAGGAGGAACGUCCAGUCAACGUCGGAGCGCGUAAUAACGCGCCCGAUUUCGCUCGCUGUGGCCGAUUUGCUCGGACACCGCUCGGAUUCAUCGCUCGCUCUCGUCGGGGCCCUUAACGGUCCGAUAUCAUGCCCGACACGGUGAUUCGUAAUGGCGAGCAAUCGGCCGGCUAGGAAAUUCUCGAGCCGUGACGUAAAAGAUAGCAGCCCGAGGGCGUGUUUCUUCGGCACGGCGCCACCAAUGCCGGGGCUACGCUUAUUCGCGCACGAGCGCGAAACGAACACGCGUCCCACACGCCGCGUCUCCUCAUCCUACCCGUUCCGGCGGCUUCUUGCGUCAAGUUCACAGCGGAAGGAGAGAUCGUUCAUCUUCGAGCGCUCCGUAGCCAAUGAGACGAGCCGUACAGCAUCUCAGCAAGACGACUUUUAAAUUCAAGAUCCGCUUACGAAUGAUUAUAUCAUCCCAGGUCAAGAUUCGUUGUUGUCCCCACAACCGAGGAAUGUACGGUAUUCGAGGAACCUGAGCGAAGGCGCGACUCGCGCGGUUGACAAUGUGUUAAUUUACUUAACAACUCAAUUGUCGGGCUGAACGCGCAUGAUUGUUCCCGAACGAGCAAGAUUAAGCCGCUAAGCUCGCCUUCUACUCACAGGAGAGGAGGUAACGGCGCUCUCUCUCUCUCUCUCUCUCUCUCUCUCUCUCUCUCUCUCUCUCUCUCUCUCUNUCGUGGUCUCCGGUGUGGAUUCAGCUUCAGGACGACUCUACCUUAAUUCCCGGCUGUCUACGAUUUUAAUUACGGACGUGCUCUCCGGUCGGCAGAGAGACGAGAUACGAAGAAAGAGAGAGAGAGAGAGAAGGAGAGGGCUCUUCGCUGGCGGCUUCCACGUUUAUUCGAUGUGAGCCGGCGGCCGCCGCGCAAUUACCUUUAUUCACCUCGAUCUACAUUGUUCCCGAGGUAAAUGGCGAUUGAAUCUUGAUUGGAGCGCGUCGCCGAGCUUCCUUGCCUAGGCGAGGAAACGGUGAAAGAGAGAGAGAGAGAGAGAGAGAGAGAGAGAGAGAGAGAGAGAGAGAGAGAGAGCAAGCAA